Molecule: ribosomal RNA, 497 nt
Filed under: uncultured bacterium
Lineage: Bacteria
Description: partial 16S ribosomal RNA
Rfam family: Bacterial small subunit ribosomal RNA
Source: RNAcentral
GAUGAACGCUGGCGGCGUGCCUAAUACAUGCAAGUCGAACGAACAGACGAUGAUCUUGCUCCUCUCACGUUACCAACGGACGAGUGACUAACACGUGGUUAACCUCUCUCUUAGACUUAGAUAUCUUCGACAAACCGUAGCUAUUACCGGGUAAUAUAUUGAACCGCAUUGUUCAAUAGUUUAAUACGGUUUUGCUAUGACUUCUCGAUCUAUCCGCGUCUCAUUAGCUUGUUGGUCAAGUAACGGCUUACCAAGUAGACGAUGCGUCGCCGACCUGGGCGGGUGAUCGGCCAGACAGGAACGGAGACACGGUCCAGACUCCUACGGGAGGCAGCAGUAGGGAAGCGGCCGCAAUGGGCGAAAGCCUGACGGAGCAACGACGCGUGAGUGAUGAAGGUGUUCGGAUCGUAAAGCUCUGUUAUUAGGAAAGAACAAAUGUGUAAGAAAAUAUGCACGUCUUGACGGUAGUGAAUGAGAAAGCCACGGCUAACUACGUG